UACAGAGGGGGCAAGCGUUAUUCGGAAUUAUUGGGCGUAAAGGGCGCGUAGGCGGCUUGGCAAGUGGAUGGUGAAAUCCCUCGGCUUAACCGAGGAACUGCCAUCCAGACUGCUUCGCUUGAGACCGGGAGAGGUGAGUGGAAUUCCCAGUGUAGCGGUGAAAUGCGUAGAUAUUGGGAGGAACACCAGUGGCGAAGGCGGCUCACUGGACCGGUACUCACGCUGAGGCGCGAAAGCGUGGGGAGCAAACAGG
Molecule: ribosomal RNA, 253 nt
Filed under: uncultured bacterium
Lineage: Bacteria
Description: partial 16S ribosomal RNA
Rfam family: Bacterial small subunit ribosomal RNA
Source: RNAcentral